Molecule: long non-coding RNA, 1181 nt
Filed under: Homo sapiens (human)
Lineage: Eukaryota; Metazoa; Chordata; Mammalia; Primates; Hominidae
Description: HSALNT0364622
Source: RNAcentral
GCUCACUGCUCCCACGGUGUCCUUACCAGCACAACUUACCCCAUCCCUCCCUAGCCCACUCUUGAGGAUACUUUCUUGCCACUGUCAGGCUUACUCCUGCCUCCUAGACUGAGGAAAGAAAAGCCUCCUGGUUUGGAGCUCAUAAUCAAGUCAGCCUUGCUGCAGGGCUCAUUUUAAGCCAGUAUCCUGGACCAGAAUAUUUCACUGAUUGCCUUGCCCGCUUCUCAAAGGCCCACUUCUCUGUGGAAUGAUGCAGUUGCUAAGAAGAGCUGUUAAUGUCAUGACCUCAAUGAAUAAAAAAGACUUCCUUUUCUCCAUGCCCACUCAAGUAAAAGGCUUCUCUCUGAACUCCUGCUAAUUUUUCAUCAGCAAAGGUGCACAGCCUUUUGGAAGUGAAAUGAUUACUAGUGAAGAAAAAGAAAGAACCUAACACUUAUUUUACAAGCCUCCCAGUGACCACUCUUCAGACAAAACUUCUUAUAAUAGCUUCCUUCCCUGAAUCUUUUGCGAAACAUCAAAUCACAAAGAGAUCUUAUUAUGCCAUUAAGAAUAUUUAAUUCAUGGGAGGAGGUCAAAAUAUCAACAUUAGCUGGAUUUUGGAAAAAGUGGAUUCCAACCCUCAGUGGACGACUUUGUGGAAUUCAAGACUCCAAUAGAGGAAGUCACCACAAAUAGCAAAAGAACAAGAAUUACCUGUGCAGCCUGAAGACGGGACUGAAUUGCUGCAAUUGUAACAUCAAAUGUUAAAUCUGAACCAGACCAUGUCCUGAAACAAAAGAGGAAGAAUCUUUGGGGAGCUGUGCUGAUGGUUUUGGAUUUCUCCAAAGGAAGAAUGCUUUGCCUGAGUCUUGUAUCCUUGGAAUUAUUAGGAAUGUUUGCCAUUAAAUAAGAUCUGAUUCAUGUGAGUUUGAGUUGACAGCUCUACCCUAUGUGUUAUCUCAGAACUCUAUACAGCAAACUAUAGAAUAUUGUUGAGAUAAAUUAAAUGAAACCUUUCCAAAUGGAAAGAUAUAUAUCAUUUUAUAGAUUGGAAAACUUAAUACUAAAAAGUGAUAGAUUCAAUACAAUGGAAUCUAUUGUUUCUAAAAUGUGCAUUUGUGUUAGUUUAUGUAUGUAUAUAAAAAUUGAAAAGCUAAUUUUAAAAAUACACAUGAAAAUAAAAGGGCCAAGAAGAACUGAGA